GUCCAAGUGGUCUAGGGGUAUGAUUCUUCUUUAGGGAACACCUAACUUGGAAGAGGUCCCGGGUUCGAUUCCCGGCUUGGACC
Molecule: transfer RNA, 83 nt
Filed under: Phaeodactylum tricornutum CCAP 1055/1
Lineage: Eukaryota; Bacillariophyta; Bacillariophyceae; Surirellales; Neidiaceae
Description: tRNA-Pro for anticodon AGG
Rfam family: tRNA
About the family: Transfer RNA (tRNA) molecules are approximately 80 nucleotides in length. Their secondary structure includes four short double-helical elements and three loops (D, anti-codon, and T loops). Further hydrogen bonds mediate the characteristic L-shaped molecular structure. tRNAs have two regions of fundamental functional importance: the anti-codon, which is responsible for specific mRNA codon recognition, and the 3' end, to which the tRNAs corresponding amino acid is attached (by aminoacyl-tRNA synthetases). tRNAs cope with the degeneracy of the genetic code in two manners: having more than one tRNA (with a specific anti-codon) for a particular amino acid; and 'wobble' base-pairing, i.e. permitting non-standard base-pairing at the 3rd anti-codon position.
Source: RNAcentral